RNAcentral lists this ribosomal RNA (498 nucleotides) under uncultured bacterium. Its description in RNAcentral is "partial 16S ribosomal RNA". It matches the Rfam family "Bacterial small subunit ribosomal RNA", at positions 28 to 507 of the family's 1533-position model. The record is from RNAcentral.
GACGAACGCUGGCGGCGUGCCUAAUACAUGCAAGUCGAACGAGAGCGACCGGUGCUUGCACUGGUCAAUCUAGUGGCGAACGGGUGAGUAACACGUGGGUAACCUACCCAUCAGAGGGGGAUAACAUCCGGAAACGGAUGCUAAAACCGCAUAGGUCUUCGAACCGCAUGGUUUGAAGAGGAAAAGAGGCGCAAGCUUCUGCUGAUGGAUGGACCCGCGGUGCAUUAGCUAGUUGGUGAGGUAACGGCUCACCAAGGCCGUGAUGCAUAGCCGACCUGAGAGGGUGAUCGGCCACAUUGGGACUGAGACGCGGCCCAAACUCCUACGGGAGGCAGCAGUAGGGAAUCUUCCGCAAUGGACGCAAGUCUGACGGAGCAACGCCGCGUGAGUGAAGAAGGUUUUCGGAUCGUAAAACUCUGUUGUUAGAGAAGAACAAGUGCUAGAGUAACUGUUAGCGCCUUGACGGUAUCUAACCAGAAAGCCACGGCUAACUACGUG